This 274-nucleotide transfer-messenger RNA is filed under the name Paracoccaceae bacterium. RNAcentral's name for it is "Rhodobacteraceae bacterium partial transfer-messenger RNA". It matches the Rfam family "Alphaproteobacteria transfer-messenger RNA", at positions 1 to 278 of the family's 355-position model. Rfam says of the family: Bacterial tmRNA, also known as 10Sa RNA or SsrA, is named for its dual tRNA and mRNA-like properties. Its role is to liberate the mRNA from a stalled ribosome. To accomplish this part of the tmRNA is used as a reading frame that ends in a translation stop signal. Lineage: Bacteria; Pseudomonadati; Pseudomonadota; Alphaproteobacteria; Rhodobacterales; Paracoccaceae. The record is from RNAcentral.
CCACUUGCGCCCAGCCCCAUCAGCCCCUACAUUCGUGGUGUUCCGAAAGGGACUAUGGACAUAAACGCGCUCGUAAUAAGCGGAUCGGACCCGGGGGCGGUACCCGGCGGCUCCACCAAUCAUCCUUCAUUUGGGGAUCAUGGGGCCGAAACAGGAUCGACGAACGUCUAAAGGGGUUAGCUUUGUCCCGGUGAGCCACCACCGUUAUCGGUGCAAAACGUACAGUUGCAAAUGACAACCGUGCUCCGGUCGCAGUCGCAGCGUAAGCUGUCAC